CAGUUUAAAGCUUAUUAAGUAAAGCAUUUCAUUUACAUUGAAAAGGUUUUUGUGCAAAUCAAUAUAGACUGA
This 72-nucleotide transfer RNA is filed under the name Dacus humeralis. RNAcentral describes it as "tRNA-Val". It matches the Rfam family "tRNA". Rfam says of the family: Transfer RNA (tRNA) molecules are approximately 80 nucleotides in length. Their secondary structure includes four short double-helical elements and three loops (D, anti-codon, and T loops). Further hydrogen bonds mediate the characteristic L-shaped molecular structure. tRNAs have two regions of fundamental functional importance: the anti-codon, which is responsible for specific mRNA codon recognition, and the 3' end, to which the tRNAs corresponding amino acid is attached (by aminoacyl-tRNA synthetases). tRNAs cope with the degeneracy of the genetic code in two manners: having more than one tRNA (with a specific anti-codon) for a particular amino acid; and 'wobble' base-pairing, i.e. permitting non-standard base-pairing at the 3rd anti-codon position. Lineage: Eukaryota; Metazoa; Arthropoda; Insecta; Diptera; Tephritidae. The record is from RNAcentral.